Molecule: long non-coding RNA, 396 nt
Filed under: Theobroma cacao (cacao)
Lineage: Eukaryota; Viridiplantae; Streptophyta; Magnoliopsida; Malvales; Malvaceae
Description: long non-coding RNA (TCAC_LNC006416)
Source: RNAcentral
UUUACUCACUGGGAUUAUAAAAUCUCACCCCUUCUUCCUAUACAUUUUUCAGGCUCAGGACAGUUUGUAGAUAGUCGAGUAGGACGAGAACUAAGCUCGGAACUGCAUUAUAGAAAGUAAGAGUUCACAAUCUUACAUCCUCUUGGUCAAUUGGAGCCCACGUGUCAUUGCAGAUCAAAACUUAUAUUUUGGUUAUCUGUAUUUCUAUUCAUACAAUUUUUACUUUACUUUCAUGUGCGAAAAAUUAUUUACGAAUAUUUCUAUAAAAAUUUAUUUUAUGAGAAAAUAGAAUAUUUUAUUUAUUAUUUUUGAAUAGUACUAGUUGUCAACAAUUUGCUUUCAAAUGAACGUUUUAGAUACUUAAUUUUUUUUUAAAUCAUUAAAUAUAUAUUUUCG